This 73-nucleotide transfer RNA is filed under the name Planctomycetota bacterium. RNAcentral's name for it is "tRNA-Phe". It matches the Rfam family "tRNA". From Rfam's summary of the family: Transfer RNA (tRNA) molecules are approximately 80 nucleotides in length. Their secondary structure includes four short double-helical elements and three loops (D, anti-codon, and T loops). The record is from RNAcentral. Lineage: Bacteria; Pseudomonadati; Planctomycetota.
GGCUGGAUAGCUCAGUUGGUAGAGCAAUGGACUGAAAAUCCAUGUGUCCGCGGUUCGAGUCCGCGUCCAGCCA